UGGGGAAUUUUGGACAAUGGGCGCAAGCCUGAUCCAGCCAUGCCGCGUGCGGGAAGAAGGCCUUCGGGUUGUAAACCGCUUUUGUCAGGGAAGAAAUCUUCUGAGUUAAUACCUCGGGAGGAUGACGGUACCUGAAGAAUAAGCACCGGCUAACUACGUGCCAGCAGCCGCGGUAAUACGUAGGGUGCAAGCGUUAAUCGGAAUUACUGGGCGUAAAGCGUGCGCAGGCGGUUUUGUAAGACAGAGGUGAAAUCCCCGGGCUCAACCUGGGAACUGCCUUUGUGACUGCAAGGCUUGAGUGCGGCAGAGGGGGAUGGAAUUCCGCGUGUAGCAGUGAAAUGCGUAGAUAUGCGGAGGAACACCGAUGGCGAAGGCAAUCCCCUGGGCCUGCACUGACGCUCAUGCACGAAAGCGUGGGGAGCAAACAGGAUUAGAUACCCUGGUAGUCCACGCCCUAAACGAUGUCAACUGGUUGUUGGGAAGGUUCCUUCUCAGUAACGUAGCUAACGCGUGAAGUUGACCGCCUGGGGAGUACGGCCGCAAGGUUGAAACUCAAA
RNAcentral lists this ribosomal RNA (557 nucleotides) under uncultured bacterium. RNAcentral describes it as "partial 16S ribosomal RNA". It matches the Rfam family "Bacterial small subunit ribosomal RNA", at positions 355 to 905 of the family's 1533-position model. The record is from RNAcentral.